GACGAACGCUGGCGGCGUGCUUAACACAUGCAAGUCGAACGGAAAGGCCCUGCUUUUGUGGGGUGCUCGAGUGGCGAACGGGUGAGUAACACGUGAGUAACCUGCCCUUGACUUUGGGAUAACUUCAGGAAACUGGGGCUAAUACCGGAUAGGAGCUCCUGCUGCAUGGUGGGGGUUGGAAAGUUUCGGCGGUUGGGGAUGGACUCGCGGCUUAUCAGCUUGCUGGUGGGGUAGUGGCUUACCAAGGCUUUGACGGAUAGCCGGCCUGGGAGGGUGACCGGCCACAUUGGGACUAAGGGACGGCCCAGAGUCCUACGGGGGGCAGCGGGGGGAAAUAUUGCACAAUGGGCGGGAGCCUGAUGCAGCGACGCCGCGUGCGGGAUGACGGCCUUCGGGUUGUAAACCGCUUUCGCCUGUGACGAAGCGUGAGUGACGGUAAUGGGUAAAGAAGCACCGGCUAACUACGUG
Molecule: ribosomal RNA, 468 nt
Filed under: uncultured bacterium
Lineage: Bacteria
Description: partial 16S ribosomal RNA
Rfam family: Bacterial small subunit ribosomal RNA
Source: RNAcentral